Molecule: ribosomal RNA, 491 nt
Filed under: uncultured bacterium
Lineage: Bacteria
Description: partial 16S ribosomal RNA
Rfam family: Bacterial small subunit ribosomal RNA
Source: RNAcentral
AGUGAACGCUGGCGGUAGGCCUAACACAUGCAAGUCGAACGGCAGCACAGUAAGAGCUUGCUCUUACGGGUGGCGAGUGGCGGACGGGUGAGGAAUACAUCGGAAUCUACUUUUUCGUGGGGGAUAACGUAGGGAAACUUACGCUAAUACCGCAUACGACCUACGGGUGAAGCAGGGGAUCUUCGGACCUUGCGCGAUUGAAUGAGCCGAUGUCGGAUUAGCUAGUUGGCGGGGUAAAGGCCCACCAAGGCGACGAUCCGUAGCUGGUCUGAGAGGAUGAUCAGCCACACUGGAACUGAGACACGGUCCAGACUCCUACGGGAGGCAGCAGUGGGGAAUAUUGGACAAUGGGCGCAAGCCUGAUCCAGCCAUACCGCGUGGGUGAAGAAGGCCUUCGGGUUGUAAAGCCCUUUUGUUGGGAAAGAAAAGCAGCAGGUUAAUACCCCGCUGUUCUGACGGUACCCAAAGAAUAAGCACCGGCUAACUUCGUA